This 86-nucleotide small nucleolar RNA is filed under the name Musca domestica (house fly). The record is from RNAcentral. Lineage: Eukaryota; Metazoa; Arthropoda; Insecta; Diptera; Muscidae.
UCCACAUGACGAUCAACCAUGCUAAUAUUGAGAGAACUAUAGGUUUUCGCUGAGUAAAACAAAACUUCUCACUUAAACUGAUGGAA